Long non-coding RNA from Lemur catta (Ring-tailed lemur), 1024 nucleotides. RefSeq lists it as uncharacterized. Lineage: Eukaryota; Metazoa; Chordata; Mammalia; Primates; Lemuridae. The record is from RefSeq and is a predicted model, not a curated record. The transcript is spliced from 3 exons.
UGUGCUGGUCCGCGACACCGAGCCUCUUCCCUCGGGUGUGGCCAAGUUUGCUGGAUUCGUAGGUGAAAAAGCGCCUCUACCCGCGUAGGAAAAGGAGAGGUUCCGAGUGUUCCAAGUUCUGGGGCUCCCCGGGUUCGAGGCUGACUUCAACGCUGAGAGACCUCAGGCGAGACCUAUAUAUGGAAACUGAGUCCAGAGAGAGUAGAAAACUUCCCUGUGGUCUCAGCGCUGGAAAAUGUGCAAAUAUCAAGGUUACCUGAGUCGGCUGGUCACUUCUACUUUUUGGACUCUUGAAGAUGGUGAGUUUUGCUAAUGAUGCGCGGCUGUUUAAGAAGCGGGUGGCUUUUCUGGCAAUCACUCUUUGUGUGCCAUCUUUUAUAAAGGUGCUUCUUGUUGCUAAGAGAUCAGUUGCUUAGAGACCAAAUCAUUAAAAAAAAUAUAUAUGUCAGGGGCCAACAUAAAUUAUAACCAAAUUUUGUCAUUUCAGUUCGCCCUCUGAACGUUUGGCUUUUGUAAUAGAUCGUAGCGUACCAAGAGAAGCCAAUUAUUAAUCACAAAUAGAAAACUGACCAUGAGGAGGAGAAAAGAUCUGUGCGUACGCUCCCAUGGACAGAGAGUAAUGCCACGUCUCCCUUUGAUGGGAGUUGCAUUGUCGCUAGGCUGUCUGAAACUUUGGCUCCUCAUGGGGGUCCUAGACAUAGGCUGUGAGGGUGGGUUUAUACACACACACACAGAUACCUGUCCCGGGCAAACUUGAGUGCAGUUUGGUGUAUGAACACAUGUGGGAAUUGUCGAGCUACUUUAGUCUUUUCCUGAGGAAAAUUUAGAGAAAAAUGCUAUGCUUAGGAAAAUGUAAGUUGGAAAUCUGAGAUAAUCUUAGCCUUCAGAGAGGUAUUUUUAAGUGUGAAUGAAUAUUAAGUUGCCACUGCUUCAGGUCCAGGUAUGGACAUGGUGGGGGCUGGGGGAGGGGUGUGCUUGGAUAAAAAGUCUUUUUGCCUUUUAUUUUCUUCCCUGUGCUCACAAA